CCUUACUAUAAGUGUUGUCUAAAUUACUGGUAGAAUACUCUUCGGUAACACCAGAAACGCGAACGUUAGUCGUCUUAAACAGGCGUAAAGGGUGAGUAGGCAGCUUACAAAUUUUUAAAUUAAGCUAAGCUAUGUAAAUUAAUAGAGAAAAAAUAAAAGAAUCAAAGAACCUAUUAAAAUAUAACCUUUGCCUAGCUUUGCUUUUUUUACCUUUGCUUUUGACCUAAUGCCUUUAUUUCUAUUUAUACCUUUGCUUCUCCCCUCUUUCGCCUUUGUCUGGACUGCCUCAAGCAGAAAAGCAAAGGUCGGGGUUAUAACUGGAGCAAAGGUUGACUAUCUUUCGUUAUGACUUUGUUAACCUUUCGAAUUGACUUUAAAAUCACCUUCGCUCGCCUUUGUCUUAAUUCCGUAAACGAGGAAAGCAAAGGAAGUAUGACGAGAGCCCUAAUUUAUAAACUGCAUAAACUCAAAACUCAACCCAGAAAAUAAAAGCUAGAAUCAUAAUGGAGAUAAACCAAAUAAUACUUAUGUGUAAGGAUGAUAUCUAAAGAUACUAAGUAGAAUA
Molecule: ribosomal RNA, 565 nt
Filed under: Agrocybe dura
Lineage: Eukaryota; Fungi; Basidiomycota; Agaricomycetes; Agaricales; Agrocybaceae
Description: partial small subunit ribosomal RNA
Source: RNAcentral